RNAcentral lists this ribosomal RNA (460 nucleotides) under uncultured bacterium. RNAcentral describes it as "partial 16S ribosomal RNA". It matches the Rfam family "Bacterial small subunit ribosomal RNA", at positions 338 to 795 of the family's 1533-position model. The record is from RNAcentral.
CCUACGGGAGGCAGCAGUGAGGAAUAUUGGUCAAUGGGCGCGAGCCUGAACCAGCCAAGUCGCGUGAGGGAAGACGGCCCUACGGGUUGUAAACCUCUUUUGCCGGGGAGCAACGGGCGCCACGUGUGGCGCCACUGAGAGUACCCGGAGAAAAAGCAUCGGCCAACUCCGUGCCAGCAGCCGCGGUAAUACGGAGGAUGCGAGCGUUAUCCGCAUUUAUUGGGUUAAAGGGUUGCGUAGGCGGCUCGUUAAGCCAGUGGUCAAAUUGAGGGGUUCAACCCCUUCCCGCCAUUGAAACUGGCGCUCUUGAGUGGGAGAGAAGUAUGCGGAAUGCGUGGUGUAGCGGUGAAAUGCAUAGAUAUCACGCAGAACCCCGAUUGCGAAGGCAGCAUGCCGGCUUCCUACUGACGCUGAAGCACGAAAGCGUGGGGAUCGAACAGGAUUAGAUACCCUUGUAGUC